UGGGGAAUUUUGGACAAUGGGCGCAAGCCUGAUCCAGCAAUGCCGCGUGCAGGAAGAAGGCCUUCGGGUUGUAAACUGCUUUUGUACGGAACGAAAAGGUUCGGGUUAAUACCCUGGGCUCAUGACGGUACCGUAAGAAUAAGCACCGGCUAACUACGUG
Molecule: ribosomal RNA, 160 nt
Filed under: uncultured bacterium
Lineage: Bacteria
Description: partial 16S ribosomal RNA
Rfam family: Bacterial small subunit ribosomal RNA
Source: RNAcentral